GUCAUGGCUGCCGAAAUGGGGAGCUGGUCCCUUCAAUAGUUAAAGAGAGAGUGGAAAGCCUGGCGGUGGUGGUGAACACCUUCAAUCCCAGGACUUGGGAGGCAGAGCUCUCUCUCUGAAAGUGAAAGGGGACGGAAAUGUGCUGGUCCGUGAGUGGUCCAGAAUCCCUCAGCAUCCGCCCACCUCCACCUCCCGGCCUUCUCUUCCUCAGUAAUAGUUUUGCAGACCUGCACCUUGGAUCAAAACAUCUCCCAUGGGGCGGCGCUUCCGGCUGCCCCUCAUUUCUCAUCUAUGGACUCUGAGAAAUGAAGAAGUGAAAUCAGAGCUUUGCCAGCACAGGAAUCGUGUUCCUCUUUACGAACCAAACGGGAGCUCUCCAUUCACAGUGUGACCAGCAGCUGGGGCUAAGAGCAGGGCCCCCUCCAGAGCAGAGCCCAGUGUGGCUCAAUGGCAGAGCUCAUGGCACUGGAGGCAAGGAUGGCCAAGAACCAGGAGGCCAUUCUGAAGGAGAGACUGGUGGCUCAUAGAAGCUAGAGAGUCCAGUCCAGAGAGGAGUUGGAAACACUGAAGCAGCAAAGACGUGCCCAUCAGUCAAAAAGGUCAAAGAGGUGGCUAGAGAGACAGCCCAGCAGUUAAGAGCACCGGCUGCUCUUGCAGGGGACCCACGACUUUCUCCUCUGGCUGUGGGCAUGUGGAGGCUGGGGUGGUAGACAGACUGUUUCACAAUCUAUAUGACAUUCGGCAGUCUCCCAUUGAUUGCAUCAGUGGUUCUCACUUUCCUAAUGCUGCAGACCUUUAAUAGAGUGAGUUCCUGUGUCAUGGUAACCCCCAACCAUAAAACCAUUUUCUUUGGGGCUGGAGAGAUGGCUCAGCAGUUAAGAGCACUGACUGUUCUUCCAGAGGUCCUGAGUUCAAUUCCCAGCAACCACAUGGUGGCUCACAACUGCCUUGAAUGAGAUCUGGUG
RNAcentral lists this long non-coding RNA (965 nucleotides) under Cricetulus griseus (Chinese hamster). RNAcentral describes it as "lncRNA (ENSCGRG00015040180.1)". The record is from RNAcentral. Lineage: Eukaryota; Metazoa; Chordata; Mammalia; Rodentia; Cricetidae.